AUAUAACCAAACAUUACCCAAAAAAAGUUUUGUUUUUAUUUUUUAGAAUAUAAAAUAAUUAUUGUUUAUCAAUAUUUUGUGCUUUAUUUAUUAUUUAAUAAUGGUUAAAGUGUGUGUGGUGCGAAGUUGAUUGAAUAGCUGAUGGAAAAAUAAAGAACAAAGGCAAAGCCUGUAAAAUACAUAAUUAUAAUUCAGUAUUGUAUUAUUUGUAUUAUAUGUAAAAAUUAGAGUCAAUCAAAAGUGUAGUAAACAUUUUUCGUAAGAUUAUUGACAUACAUGUUACAAAGUAUAUUUUUACAAUCCUUAUAAAGUUACAACCUGAAUAAAAUUUAUUUUUAAUGAUUUUAAAGUUUGACAGACAUGCACAAAUUGUUGGCAUUUUUUUAAACAAAUAAAAGUAGGAAAUAAAUAAAGUUCUAGGUACUUUCAAGAAAUAUAGUUAACUGUAAGUGCUGUAUUUUAAUAAUCUAUCAAAAAUCAAAAUCAUCAGGAUAAUAUUACGUAUUGAUUUUCAAACAAGAAUUAGAUUACAGCGAUGGUCAAAAGCAUUUAGAUAUUGCUUUGAAAUCUACAGAUAAGGCAUGGCAGUUUCGUUUUAAAGAACAAGAUGUUAAAGUUUAUGAUAAAAUUGUCAUCAGAAAUACUGUCCACUUGCAGUAUUUACAUAGGAAAAUGUUGGAGGAUGAAGCUCUACCUACUGCCUCAGGUUAAUUUAAAUUCUGAGUUGCAACAACAGCAACAAGCAAGAAGGGCACCAUUAAAUGAAUAUUAUACUCAUAAGUAUUAUUAUACAAAGAAAGAGUAAUGUUAUACACAUAAAUAUUAACAUUUUGUAGAGCAACAACAGAAUAAAAAACCAAAAUAUGAACACCAGCAACUAAAACAGGAACCAUUAAAUGAAUAUUAUAUAUAGCAAUAACAGCAUCAAAUAAUGGAAAUAAUGGACCUUAUUGCACAAAUCAAAAACAAAAUUUCAGCAUUACUACUUUAUUGGUUAUAUCAAUAAUAGAAAUUGAGUUUAUCAGUCUAGAUCCUACAAGCAAGCAGAUCUAUCACAUAAUUUUAAAUGAAGAUUUAUCUAUUAUAGUAAUUUAUUCUAAUAACGAAAAAAAAACUUUGGAU
Molecule: long non-coding RNA, 1122 nt
Organism: Sitophilus oryzae (rice weevil)
Lineage: Eukaryota; Metazoa; Arthropoda; Insecta; Coleoptera; Curculionidae
Exons: 3
Source: RefSeq, a predicted model, not a curated record